AGCUACUUGGGAGGAUGAGGCAGAAGAAUCGCUUGAACCCGGGAGGCGGAGGUUGCGGUGAGCCGAGAUCGCGCCAUUGCACUCCAGCCUGGCGACUCAGCGAUACUCCGUCCCCCUCCCCCCGCCCCAAGAAAAAUCUGUUCUGUGGGGAGCGACAAGGAAGGAGCUUUCAGCCCGACGGGGGUCGCAGGGAAGAAUUCAAGAUGGCGUGUUUAGGAGCUCUAGCUCCUUGACAAAUUAGUAAAAUGUUAGUCUUAGGAGAAGAACGAAAAGGCUCUCCUAGACUAAGAAACAGCAUACACAGUGAGAAACCUCAGAAGAAAUAAAAUUCAAGGAAGAUAGCAACAACGAAAACAUCAGAAGGAACACUAAAGUAGUCAAAUCAGCUUAGCAGAAACAAACUAAGUACGUUAACCAAUGGAAAACUGACGGAGAGAAAUAAACUGUUUUUGCACGCUAAAUGGAAAUGACUUUUGAAUUAUCUGCUUUGGAAGAUUAUCCAUGACACUGUUCUGCCCUGCUCUGCUCUAACAACAUUUGGAUUCACCUACGCUCUUACCAGCUGGAGGGAGUAAA
RNAcentral lists this small RNA (576 nucleotides) under Pan troglodytes (chimpanzee). RNAcentral describes it as "processed transcript". The record is from RNAcentral. Lineage: Eukaryota; Metazoa; Chordata; Mammalia; Primates; Hominidae.